Molecule: ribosomal RNA, 484 nt
Filed under: uncultured bacterium
Lineage: Bacteria
Description: partial 16S ribosomal RNA
Rfam family: Bacterial small subunit ribosomal RNA
Source: RNAcentral
AUUGAACGCUGGCGGCAGGCCAAACACAUGCAAGUCGAGCGGAUGAAGGGAGCUUGCUCCUGGAUUCAGCGGCGGACGGGUGAGUAAUGCCUAGGAAUCUGCCUGGUAGUGGGGGAUAACGUCCGGAAACGGGCGCUAAUACCGCAUACGUCCUGAGGGAGAAAGUGGGGGAUCUUCGGACCUCACGCUAUCAGAUGAGCCCAGGUCGGAUUAGCUAGUUGGUGGGGUAAAGGCCUACCAAGGCGACGAUCCGUAACUGGCCUGAGAGGAUGAUCAGUCACACUGGAACUGAGACACGGUCCAGACUCCUACGGGAGGCAGCAGUGGGGAAUAUUGGACAAUGGGCGAAAGCCUGAUCCAGCCAUGCCGCGUGUGUGAAGAAGGUCUUCGGAUUGUAAAGCACUUUAAGUUGGGAGGAAGGGCAGUAAGUUAAUACCUUGCUGUUUUGACGUUACCAACAGAAUAAGCACCGGCUAACUUCGUG